Non-coding RNA from Sturnus vulgaris (Common starling), 83 nucleotides. Lineage: Eukaryota; Metazoa; Chordata; Aves; Passeriformes; Sturnidae. The record is from RefSeq and is a predicted model, not a curated record.
AAAUAAAAAUGUGUAAUAUCACAUAGUGAAGAGUUUGAAAUUCAAAGUUUCAGAAUAUAGUAAUAAGACAAAAGAGAGGUUUU